GUGCCAGCCGCCGCGGUAAUACGGAGGAUGCAAGCGUUAUCCGGAAUCACUGGGUUUAAAGGGUGCGCAGGCGGAAUAGCAAGUCAGAGGUGAAAGACUACAGCUCAACUGUGGAAUUGCCUUUGAUACUGUUAUUCUUGAGUGUAGUUGAAGUGGGCGGAAUAUAGCAUGUAGCGGUGAAAUGCAUAGAUAUGCUAUAGAACACCAAUUGCGAAGGCAGCUCGCUAAACUAUAACUGACGCUGAGGCACGAAAGCGUGGGGAGCGAACAGGAUUAGAUACCCCUGUAGUCC
Molecule: ribosomal RNA, 292 nt
Filed under: uncultured bacterium
Lineage: Bacteria
Description: partial 16S ribosomal RNA
Rfam family: Bacterial small subunit ribosomal RNA
Source: RNAcentral